GACGAACGCUGGCGGCGUGCUUAACACAUGCAAGUCGAACGGGCCUGUCUUCUUUUUUGGGGGGUGGGUUGAGUGGCGAACGGGUGAGUAUCACGUGAGUAACCUGCCCUUCGGUCCUGGAUAACCGCUUGAAAGGGCGGCUAAUACGGGGUGGUCCGGUUGGUCCGCAUGGGCUGGUCGGGAUAGAUUCACUGUUUUUGGUGUUUCGGCGGGGGAUGGGCUCGCGGCCUAUCAGCUUGUUGGUGGGGUGAUGGCCUACCAAGGCGGUGACGGGUAGCCGGCCUGAGAGGGUGGGCGGCCACACUGGGACUGAGAUACGGCCCAGACUCCUGCGGGAGGAAGCAGUGGGGGGUAUUGCACAAUGGGCGGAAGCCUGAUGCAGCGACGUCGCGUGAGGGAUGGAGGCCUUCGGGUUGUGAACCUCUGUUUCCGGUGGUGAAGGCCCUGUCCGUGUGGUGGGGUUGACGGUAGCCGGGGAUGAAGCGCCGGCUAACUACGUG
Molecule: ribosomal RNA, 500 nt
Filed under: uncultured bacterium
Lineage: Bacteria
Description: partial 16S ribosomal RNA
Rfam family: Bacterial small subunit ribosomal RNA
Source: RNAcentral